Molecule: long non-coding RNA, 247 nt
Organism: Neodiprion virginianus
Lineage: Eukaryota; Metazoa; Arthropoda; Insecta; Hymenoptera; Diprionidae
Exons: 2
Source: RefSeq, a predicted model, not a curated record
UUUUCUACCUGCGCGAGUACUAAGGUGCUUAGGUUCUAUAACCUUGCAGAAUAAACUGUCCAAGCAUUUCAGUUCGUUUUUGACAUCCACCACGGAUAGACGUACGAGAGAAACCCCCAAGAAAAAAACCAAGACCUGGCAUCGCCGAUUGAUCAUCAAAAUUGCGGCCGUCAUUGUGGAAACCGUGCAGCACCUUUUUUUCACGUGAAAUUACAACAAUUUAUACAACAAUGAUGCACUCAAUAAA